CCGUCCGUCGGGCGAUUCCCCACUCAAUUCCCUCAUCUCCUCUUCGUCCACGAUCCCGCACGCCUCCUCUUCGUCCACGAUGCCGCCUCCCCUCAUCUCCCCUUCCCUUCCUCCUCCGCCGCCGACGUCCGCCCGGCCGCCCCCCGUGCAGCUUCCUCUUCGAGGACGGCGCCCCUCUCUCUUGCUCUACCCGCUGCCUCUUCUCUCUCCCUUCUUCCUCUGCCCGCUGCAAUCAGAGCCGCCGCCGCUUCCUUCCUGCGCCAGUUCCCGCCGCCAACGACGGGCGCCUGAGGAGAGGGCCGCGGGCCUCCGCUCGCUGUGCCUGCCCCCACCGUUCACCGCCCCCGCGCCGGCGCUCCUCCUCAUCGAGCUGCCUCCGCCGCCCCCACCCCCGCCCUCCUCUUCGAGGACGGCGCCUACGCCCGCCGCCGAUCACCGCUAAUGGAGGGACGUCGAGCGAGUCUACCUCCACCAGCCAGGUCGCUUCCAGUGCGUCGGCGUCCGCGGCUCCGGCCACUCGCGGCGCGCGUGCGUUUUGGGGACUCGCGGUGGGGCUCGUGAAACGGCGGUUCCGGCACGUCCUGGACAUCGUGGGGAGCUCUGUGGACUGCAACCGCUCCACUACUGCAGGUAAUCUCCUUCCGCAUCUACAAAAGGCCAGGUACGAGCUAUCGCUGUGAGUCUGAACUUUACUUUUUUUUGAGGGAAUGGACUUUACUACUCGCUGGACCACAAAUGGGACCUUGAAAUGCAUUUCUUUGUGUGGAUCUGAAAAUAGCAGUGUACUGAUGUUUGGAUCUGAAAAUAGACUUCUAUAUAAAGGAUUGUUGGUUGGAUCUGCCAGCAAAGAAGGAGAAGCGUAGUAACAUGACAUGCAGAUUAUUGUCUCAAAAAGUCAUUGUGUAAGUGAUUAGCGUAUGCAUUUCAUUAAUGAGAAUUAGGGAGACCAUCAUGUAGCUGUCUCUUGUGGCCGACUUUUCUUUUACAUCUGCAGCCAUGUCUGACCUACCUAGCUUUCUACUUCCUUUUGCAUAUUGAUUUCAACAGGUUUAGUGAUCACAAACAAGAAAUGAUCAUGUCGGGUUUUAUUUUUAUAAUGAAGCUUAUAUCUAUCUAGAUUAUUUCUGCCAACUCUUCUCUGUACAAAACCAGUAGGAUGUUGGUUCAUUUCUAUUAUUUGUUCCAUUUCUAAGAUGGUUUACUUUGUUGAUGCAUUUAUCGUAAAUACACUAUGGCAUCACAAAACCAGUUGGAUGUUGGCCCUUGCUUUUUAGAUAUUCCACAUAUAUAUUCUCAGAUGUGUAUUUGAUGAUAUAUUGUCUUCUACUAUUCCUGAAAAUAGUUGUACUCCCUAUUGUGUUGUGACAUAUGUCUAGCAGCAACCAGGUUGGCAAUGCCUAUGCCACUGCUUUUGCUUAUUUCUGCAUGCUGUCCAAAAGUUGUAUUUGGGUUACCUGAUUGUUUACAAUGCUCUUCAGAGUAUAUCGUAUUAAUAUAAGUUCUCCAUUUGAGGCUACUACAUAUACUGUUUAUACAAAUAAUAUCUAUCUGUAUUGCUAUCUACAAGACCUAAUCUCUAGCUGUUUUCUCAUAAAUUUCACGUAUAUUUCUUGUGCAAAAAAUGGUGCGGCUGCGACUGCCACAAAAAAAAUCUACGUGCAUAGAACUCGAAGAGUCUGAACAUUUGGAUGUGAUAAUAUCACAUAUACCAGUUUCUUCCAGUCCUAUAACAGAUCACGCAUGGCUUUUGAUUUUGUUGCUGUUAAUGAAACCUGGGAGGAACCUGUCCAUUGAAGUGUGGUGGGUCUAUCUUACUAUCUAGAUCGAUGAACACGUGUAAAAAAAGGUACCUUUCAAAAGAGCUGGUUAUUAUGGAGUUGCAUCAUGAUUGUUUUUUUACUUGACAAAAGAGAAUGCAGAUCUUAAGGUUGUUGCUAUGUUGUUCCUCUAGGGAAAAGUUUGUGAGUGUUUAAAUAAAAUCAAUUUGUCCAGUAUUAGCUCAUGGACAGUGUCAUGUAUCCCUAAGGGAAGUUUAUCUUUCUCAACAUUGCUGAACAGAGGAGAAGCAAACAGAACAUUGGGAAGGUAGGAAGAUUAGGGCAGUUGGAGCCAUGGAGGUGUCUCAGGACUGGAUGAGCUAUGGAGAUGCACAAUGAUCGAUUGGAGAGGGAGAAAGUGAGUGAAAGACUAGAUUUAGGUGGAGAAAUAUAUGUUCUAGGAAGAGAAAGAAUUGGAUCAAUGCAUAGUGAUCAGCAGAGAGGACUAAGUGAGAGAUAUACUAGCAUUUGGUACAUAUUUGAUAGAGACAUGACAUAGCAUUGCGCUUAAUUCGACAUGUGUUCUUGAAAUACAAUAAUUGGAUUUGUCAUUUUAUUUCUUCCGUAGCAACGCACGGGCACUCUGCUAGUUUCAGUAGAAGAGAGAGAUACAUCUGAGAGGUAAGUGUUUGGUUCGUCUAUAUAUAUGCAGCAGCACAGUUCAGACCAUGCUAAGAGAAGUUAGGUCCAUGCCAUUGAUCAUGUAAACCUUUACUGAGUCCAGAUUGCUAUAAGAAUACAUAGCCUGCUAGUAUACGUAAUUAUCUGUUGGUUAAUUGACAUCUUUGUGUGCACAUCCCUGAAAAGAAUACAAUGAUGAUUUACUCCUGGUAGUUAGAACAUUCAGUGUUGCUCAGUACAUGAUUGCCUUGCUUGAAUGCCUGUGUAAUAAGUUGUAGAGAUUAGAUAAACUGAGGCUUGUUGCUUCUAAGGUUACAAAUAGGUAGAGUAGUGGCUACUCUUCAGUAGCAUAUCAGUACCUUGCUUAUACUAUUUUGAAUAAGGGGGAUAAUAAGAGUAACCUGAAACUUGUUACUGGUAAAGAUCAACCAUAAGCAUCCAGUAGCCAACCAUAGUUUCUAGAAAUAGUUAUGCUCCUACACCACAAGUCCAGAUGCUAAUUAGAGAUAUAGGUUCCAGGAAACAACAUUUAUACAUGUAUUCAACCAUUUUAAUAGGUGAACCUCUUGUGCCUUAAUAAAACCCAAAUCAGUAUCUUAUUAGACUGCAUGUUCUUACAGUGACCCUGUUUCACAAUUACUUGUUCUAUCAUCUAGAAAUAGUACAUAAGUAAAAUUUCUCAUGCCAGUUAAUCAUGCUGUAGAAUUAGUAGCUCCAGGAUUCAGAAUUGCAUCUAACUUACAAUUGUACAGUAUAAGCAUGUACUGGUACAUCAUUUGAAAUCACUAGGCAACCUUUGUGAAUCUGCUAUUAAAUUAACUCUAUCUAGCACUGCAAUAAUCUGUGGCUUGGAUAGCCUGCAUGAAUCAAGCUAUGGGUAGGAUGAACUUGGCAGAACUUGUUUGCUCUUUGGUUGCCUGAAUUGAUGCCAUGCAAGAUAAACUAAGUAACCAUGACUGAAUUGAGCUACUUGUUUCUGCUUCAAGCUUCUGCGUCAUGCUUUGUAUGCCAUUUUGGUGUUCUUUUUCAUUUGGAUUUCAUUCACUCUUUCCGGUUUGAGUCUACCUUGGAAAUUCUUAUCGUCUUAAUUGGGUCUUGGUGUUCUACAUGAUCUUCCGGGUAUCUCAGGCAAGUCCAGUUCUUGUUCAUAUCUGAUGAUUACUUUAUAUCAAAGUUUGCAAAGUAUUCUACUGGUAUCACUUGCAUCAAAAGAAAAGUUUAUCUUCUAAAUAAUAUGGCAUGGAUGUUGUUGAUCGACUGAUGGAGCAGUCGGUGAACUAUUAUGGCUGGUAGUUCAAAGCCUGGCUUUCAUGCCGUGGAAGGUGGAUUCGACUACAAAGGAUAUCACCUUAAGGUUUAAUCAACAACUGCCUACUUGUACUCGAGCGUCGUAGCGACCGCGUUGACCACAUGUCCCUGUAUGGGCGGAGCUGAGCUGAAGUAAUGCCAUCUUAAUGUCCUACCUCCCUGAGAGCAGCUGGGGUGACCUCUACUGUAGGCAACCAACUGCGAUAGAAGGAAUGACAGUUGGAGGUUGACCUCUACUGUAGGCUACCAACUUGUCAUGGUGGGUAGCUAGUGCCUGUGUGUGCCGGCUAACGGCAGAGGGGGUGGGAUUCUAACAACCCGUGAGGCAAGAAGAGCAUAGAAUUCUAAAUAUAAAACUUGACUCUUUUCUCAGAAAUGUUUGUGAAAACAUUGCUUAUCUGGGGACCAUGCGUCCUAGUAGAUCAUAGUGCAUUCAAACACUUGUUGAGUACCUUCUGUACUCGAUGUUCCGCUAAUUGUCAAGAUGGAGACGAGGUACCUUAUUGAGCAAUGAAGGAGAUUACUUCGGGAAUACGUCGUCAAGUGUCUAAAUAGUGGAACAGUUAGGCCAUAAUUUCUGUGAUUCUUGUAAUUGUUAAGUUGUAUUUUACUUGUAAAGGUAAUUCCAAUUAUUUAUGUAUGACAGAAUCCA
Molecule: long non-coding RNA, 4398 nt
Organism: Brachypodium distachyon (stiff brome)
Lineage: Eukaryota; Viridiplantae; Streptophyta; Magnoliopsida; Poales; Poaceae
Exons: 2
Source: RefSeq, a predicted model, not a curated record